CCUACGGGAGGCAGCAGUGGGGAAUAUUGGACAAUGGGGGGAACCCUGAUCCAGCGACGCCGCGUGAGUGAAGAAGUAUUUCGGUAUGUAAAGCUCUAUCAGCAGGGAAGAAAGAAAUGACGGUACCUGACUAAGAAGCCCCGGCUAACUACGUGCCAGCAGCCGCGGUAAUACGGGGGAUGCAAGCGUUAUCCGGAUUUAUUGGGUUUAAAGGUUGCGUAUGCUGUGAGGUAAGUCAGCGGUGAAAUGCCCCCGCUCAACGGGGUGAAGUGCCAUUGAUACUGCCUUGCUGGAAUGCGGAUGCCGUGGGAGGAAUGUGUGGUGUAGCGGUGAAAUGCAGAGAUAUCACACAGAACACCGAGUGCGAAGGCAACUCACGAAUCCGCGAUUGACGCUGAUGCACGAAAGCGUGGGUAUCAAACAGGAUUAGAUACCCUUGUAGUC
RNAcentral lists this ribosomal RNA (444 nucleotides) under uncultured bacterium. RNAcentral's name for it is "partial 16S ribosomal RNA". It matches the Rfam family "Bacterial small subunit ribosomal RNA", at positions 338 to 795 of the family's 1533-position model. The record is from RNAcentral.